This 294-nucleotide ribosomal RNA is filed under the name Crisantophis nevermanni. Its description in RNAcentral is "partial 12S ribosomal RNA". Lineage: Eukaryota; Metazoa; Chordata; Lepidosauria; Squamata; Dipsadidae. The record is from RNAcentral.
AAAGACUUGACGGUACUUCACAACAGCCUAGAGGAGCCUGUCUAAUAACCGAUACUCCACGAUUAACCCAACCUGUUCUAGCCUAACAGUCUAUAUACCGCCGUCGCCAGCUUACCUUGUGAAAGUAAUAAAGUGAGCCCAACAAGUCACCCUUAAUACGACAGGUCGAGGUGUAACUUAUGAACAGGAAAAAGAUGGGCUACAUUUUCUAUAACAGAAUAUACGAACAAUCUAUGAAACUAGAAACCGAAGGCGGAUUUAGCAGUAUGAUAAGGAUAAAACACUUAACAGAAA